Molecule: ribosomal RNA, 484 nt
Filed under: uncultured bacterium
Lineage: Bacteria
Description: partial 16S ribosomal RNA
Rfam family: Bacterial small subunit ribosomal RNA
Source: RNAcentral
AUUGAACGCUGGCGGCAGGCCUAACACAUGCAAGUCGAGCGGAUGAAGGGAGCUUGCUCCUGGAUUCAGCGGCGGACGGGUGAGUAAUGCCUAGGAAUCUGCCUGGUAGUGGGGGAUAACGUCCGGAAACGGGCGCUAAUACCGCAUACGUCCUGAGGGAGAUAGUGGGGGAUCUUCGGACCUCACGCUAUCAUAUGAGCCUAGGUCGGAUUAGCUAGUUGGUGGGGUAAAGGCCUACCAAGGCGACGAUCCGUAACUGGUCUGAGAGGAUGAUCAGUCACACUGGAACUGAGACACGGUCCAGACUACUACGGGAGGCAGCAGUGGGGAAUAUUGGACAAUGGGCGAAAGCCUGAUCCAGCCAUGCCGCGUGUGUGAAGAAGGUCUUCGGAUUGUAAAGCACUUGUAGUUGGGAGGAAGGGCAGUAAGUUAAUACCUUGCUGUUUUGACGUUACCAACAGAAUAAGCACCGGCUAACUUCGUG